Molecule: long non-coding RNA, 627 nt
Organism: Chelonia mydas (Green sea turtle)
Lineage: Eukaryota; Metazoa; Chordata; Testudines; Cheloniidae
Exons: 3
Source: RefSeq, a predicted model, not a curated record
CAGAGGAAAAGCCCUUUCACCUGUAAAGGGUUGAGAAGCUAAGAUAACCUCGCUGGCACCUGACCAAAAUGACCAAUGAGGAGACAAAAUACUUUCAAAGCUGACGGGGACGAGAAACAAAGGUCUUGUCUGUCUGUGUGAUGCUUUUGCCGGGAACAGAGCAGGAACGCAGGUCAGAACUCCUGUAAAAAAUUAACAAGAAGACAACAGAAUGGAGAAUAAAGAGAAAAGCAAUGGUGAGAUUAAAGAAAAACAGCCAGCGAAAAAGAAAGUGGUGCAGUUGCCCUGAAAUUGUUUUUCCCCCUUCAUGGUCCACCACGGGCAUCCACUUAAAGGUUUCCAGCUCCCAGCCAUGACCUGUCCUGCACAGAGACCCAUGUCACUCCCUCCUGACCAAGGUUUUAAGGCUGCACAGCUCCCUGGAUUUAUAUUGUGAUAUCCCCAACAAGCCAGGCUGCCUAAACAGAACAGUGUCUGCACUUUGCUUUCUCUCCAAAGGCUACGACCAAUGUAUUGCCCAUAGUUAUAAGUUACCACACAGCUCCUUCUAAGAAAGUGUAAUGCCCACAGACCCCAGUUGUCAGCGGGCAGAAUUGAACCUGGGACCUCUGGAGCUCAGUGCAUGAG